GCUGUUGGGUGGCACUGUUGGUGGCACUGUUGGGAGUGAAAGCUUUAUGAGGGGACCCAGCCCCUCCGCUUCCGUCUGUCAUUGGAGUCACAGGUGAGCAGCUCCUUCCACCCCGUCCCGCCCAGACGCACCGUCCGGCUGCAGACCCAGGUCAGUGGGCCAGGCGCGUGGGCUGCAGGCUCUGAAACUAGGAUCAAAAUAAACCCUUGUCCUGACCAGCUGCUGACCUCGGGGAUCUGAUUGAGUGCUGGACCGCUGGCCGGGACACUCUGCUGAAGGAGUCCAGCUCUGGAGAACCAGCCCAAGCCCCCAGGGACCCCUGCCCUCAGCUCACCGGGUGGAGGUGGCACAGAGGUCCCGCGGGGGCAGCUGCGAGCUGUGUCCAGCCUCCUCCCUGGCCUGGCCUCUUUCUCGUGUGUCCUUCCUGGAAGCACCUGCUCUGUGACCGUCCCCUGGGGCCAGAGCGGGGGAGGCGUGUGGCCUGGGGAGUCGGCGGGCUGGGGCCACAGUGGUCGGGUGGAGCCCAGCUGACCGCGGGAAACUGAGGUGGGACCUUUGUGAGUCAAGUGGCUGAAACCCAGGUCCCGUGGACUGAGGCAGGUGGGGGGUGUGGGACUGUCACCAGCUGGACCAUGUCCUUCAGAAUUCAUCAGCUGGGGCCCUGACCCCCGGGGAGGGAAGGAUGCCACUGGAUCGGGAAGAGGCUCUUUAAAGGGGGAUUAGGGCGGCUCCGAAUCCCGCGUGACCUGCACACUCUGAAGACAGAUCGGGACAGGGACAGAGAGGGUGAGGAACUGGCCCGGAAUUGCCCAGCCCUGGGUCUGUGAAACCGUGGAACCAAGAUCCCGACCUAGAACUUGAUCAGAGAGGCCAGACUGGCUGGUCCCCUGGCUGUGCCAGGCUCUGCCCCUGACUUGCUGUGAGUCUGUGGGCGAGUCCCCUGGGUGUCCUGCUUGUUUCCUGAUGGGGUCGGACGGCGGAGGGAGUGAAAGGAGCUCUUGGGACCUUUCCAAGUCCCUGAGGAGGCAGGAGCUCGGGGCCCACAGGGCUGUCUCCGCCCUCAGACCUGCAGGGACAGAGCCGUCCCCUCAGGUGGGGGAGUGUCUAGCAAGGACACCUCUGUCCCCGUCACAGCUGGGUGCACAGACCAGGUGCACCCAGCUAUGGGACCGGCCGGAAUGGAAAGGAGGGAGCCCGGGCUGAGGCCCAGCCCCUGCUCAGGAGGAGACCCCCCACCAGCCACCCGGGCCUCAGUGUCCCCGUCUGUCAAUCAGAAGAGCAACGCCAACCCGAGAGGGAGUCAUGGUCGUGACUCGGUUGAAGGUGACGUUGUCCCUCCCUCAAGGGACGUCUGGCUGGGUCUGGAGAAGCUCUGGGGUGUCAGGGGCACGGGGGGCAAGGCCGGGGAGCUCCUGAACAUCCUUCCAAGGACGUCCGGCCAGGACGUCCCCAGGCGGAGGCUCGGAGCGGCUGCCGAGGAUCACAGCACACGGGCCGCUCGACGUCCCCAGAUUCUCAGUUCCCUCUGGCUCUCCUGCCGCUCCUGGGGCCCACAGUCAAGGCUGUCCCCUACUGAAUUCCAGGGCUCCCUCUCCCGGGGUCUGCUGCCCGGCCCCCUGGAGGGGGGCGCGCGGGAGGGUCCAGGUCUUGCUGGACAGCUGGCCCUCGCCACCUCGGCUACCGCUGAAGGAUCCGCCAACCCUGGAAAUGUUCAGAAAAACCCCGGAGUCUUCUGAACACAGACUUCUUGACCCUCCCCAUUCCGCCCCAGAUAAUGCCGCCGAGCCUGGGACGGUGGCCCACGCCCGAAUGCCAGUGAUUCAGGAGGCUGAGGCAGGAGGACUGCAAGUUUGAGGCCAGACUGGACAACUGAGGGAGGCCCUGCGCAGCUCAGUGAGACCCUCAGUGGUGAGUGCCCCGGGUUCAAGCCCUGGAACCAAGCACACAGGACAGGGAGCCUGGGUUCUGGGGCACCACGUCGCGCUGUGUGCUAGAAGGCGUCUAGAGAUGGCUUCGCGUGUCUGGGAGGGGACACCCGUGGGUCACCUGUAGAUACUGUGUUGUUUCGUGUAAAGCACUUGAGCUCCCUCGGAUCCCGUACCCUCGGGUGCUGGGUCCCCUCCCCCGGGGGUCCCCAGGGGGGCUGCACCUGCUUUCUCGCCUCUGGGUGGCUGCAGCCUUGGGGCACGCAGUGUCCCCGGGGCAGGGGGGCCUGGGCGAGCUGACCUGGCCCCGCGUACUGGCCGCCCUCUCCUGUCCCAGAGGACAAGACUCCACCCGUGACUGGCUAGGACUGUCCAGCAAGAGGCCCUGUCCUGUGCGCGGGUGCCAGCCCGGGCCAGUGUGUCUCCGGGCCCCGAGCCAACAGCGGGGACAAUCUGUCCGAGAAGGAACCGACCCAAAGGGGAGUGAGCCUAAGAGCCGCAGGAAGGUGGACCCUGGGUCCAGGUGUCUCAGAGCCACCAGGUCCCGCAGGGCUGUCCGUGAGUCAGCGACGCCCUUAGGGCCUUGAACCAUCUGGUCCCUGCCCCAGGCGGGGUGUGUCUGGAAGCCCCCUGGGAUGGCGCUGCCCCUCAGCCGCGUUCCUCUGGACCCUGCAGGGCGCCACAGAAGUGUCUGCGGGGGUGGCCACCCUGGUCCGCCCUGUCCGCCGGCCACGGGAGGAGAAGCUACAGCGUGACCCGGGGACAUUCAUUAAUUAGCAGUUUAAGGACAUUUGCACCUGCUGCUCUGGGUCUGGGGUCCUUUUUGCCGACUGGACUCUGCUUCCUGACUAAUCACCCCACGUGGGAAGUCCUGACGCCAGCUGCCUCUCGCUCCAGACUCGUCACAGGUGCUGGGAUCCGAGUAGGUUCUGGGGACUCCCCCUGAGCCUGCAGGAAGGCUUCAGAAGCCGGGUCUCAGCUCAGGAGGCCCUCUCUGUCCCCAGGCUACCCCGCGACCACACUGGCCCGGGUCGCCGGGUCACGGGCACUUUCUCAUCUCCAGCCUCGGCGUCCUCAGCACCACCUGGCCCUGGCCCCCGGGGGUCUCAGUCAGUCAUGUCUGUGGCCAGCCCACUGACACCGUGUCCCCACCCAGCCUCGCAAUGGCUCCCCGACGCCACCCUCCCCACUUGGAGCCGGGGCCUCCCUGUCCUCCUGACUAGUGACAGCCAGGGAGCCCGUUCCCUCCUGCCGAGGCACAAGUCUGGUGGCUGGACACCCGGGGACACCUCCUCCCCAGGUGAAGAGCCCGGCCGCGAGGCCCGUGGGCAGCCGGGACGUGCUGGCCCUGGCCCAGCAGGUGGCUUGGUGCCUGUGGGACCCCGGGGAAGCCAGCCCAGGCCGUCCACACCCGACCCCAGACCCCCGCCUGCUGGUCUGUGAGCAGGUGAAAGUCUGGGACGCUCUGAGCUGGGUCCAAGAACGCCCCUGAGACCCACCGGCCACCUGAAGGUGGAGGUGACAGAGGGGCAGGUAACAGGUGACACUGGGGCGGUCACUGGUCAGGCCUCCCCUCCCCUGUGCAGGACGGAGGCAGCGUCCCUGCAGGGAUGCGCCAGCAGACAGAGGGCACCCAACUCCACUCUGACCUGCCUGGCCCUGUGGGUCAUGCAGGAGGGUGGGCAGAGGGGUCAGUGUCCAGGGGACAGGGAGCCUGGGGUCUGCAGGCCCUGGGAUGGGGCCCGAGUCCCCACCUGUGGCUUCUUAGCCUGAGGAGCCGUGCAAACCCCUCAUCUGUGUCUCAAUGUCCCCCUCCGUGAAAUGGGCCCCUAGCCCCCUCAGGGGCUGCUGGGGACACUGACCAGAGCCACCCCGGGCUGAGCGCCAGGCGCUGGUGUUUAUUAUUGGUGUUAGAGUCCACUCCAGGGAGGACAGUGGCCAUGGCCAGGAACCGGUCCCUGUCACAGUCACCUCCUUGGUGGCCACAGACUCCCCUCGGGGCUGGGGCUCAGGACAGUCUCCUUGUGGCCACAUGCUGGUGGCACCCGCCAUCCAGGGGUCACCAGGCCGCGGGGUUCUCGUCCUCACUGCGCAACGGAGAAGAGCCUCGGACGCGGGCGGAGGCGGUGGCCACGGAGCAUGAGGGACUCACGGGACGGGCCUCAGGGCUGAGCGGGGGCGCUUGUCCCCGGGCGAGGGGUCCCCGCGUGGAAGUCAGGCCUGCGCAGUGUCCUGUCCCGCCUCCGUCCUGCCCCGUCCCCUCUCUGGCCUGGGGUGCCUGCCACCUGCCACCACCACCUGGACCCAGGGGCUGAGGAUGGGGUGGAGGGUGCCAAGGAGAGGCUUGUCCCCCAGAGGGGACGGGGCCUUAGGAAGCCAGAGAGUCUGCCCGGCGGAGCCCACUGGCGCUGGACCCCCGGUCCCAGGAGGCAUGUGGGGGCCUGCGCCCUGUCCCCGAGCCCCGUGCCCAAGUUCCUGGGCGGCACAGACGGCGAAGCUCUGAGAAGCACGUCACGGGGGUUCCUGGGUCCCGAGGCCACCCUUAGGGGACUGUCACCACACUGGGCUGUCUGGAGGGGAGGUGGCAGGUCCUCAUCCUGUGUGGUGGCCUGGCCAGCUUGUCCCCGCUGGGACUCCCCACUGCCCACGUGGAGCGGGGCUGGUGUUUAGGGGUCUCCAGGGACGAGGAGCCCCAGGUGGUGGCAUCAUGGGGACCCCCAGGGGCAUUCGGGGUCGCCCCAGGCUGCUGGCCAUGCUGUCUCAGCCAGAGCCUCCCCGACUGUCCCCGAGGGGAUGGAGCCUGGGACGCGUGAGGGUGUCCUUGCCCAUGGCCGGGGGGAAUGUGGCCUCACGUCCUCAGAUCCGCGCUCGGGCCCCUCCCCGCCCCCUGCCUGGCUGCCUCCCGGGGGCGACUGGGGUCUCAGUGCGCCCAGCUGGGUGGCCGCCAGGUUACAGGGAGGUCCCCCUCCUCUCUGGGCUCCCGACUUGGAGUGUCCUACAGACCCUGGGGUUUGGAACCUCAAAAAGCCAAGCCACACACCAGAGAUUCAUCUCUCCCUUGGGUCCUGCGAUCAGAAAUGUGUCCCAGAAGGCCCAGGAUUCAGAUGGCUGUGCUCGUCGAGAAGGUCAUGGAGAUGGCUGGAGCCCUGGCAGCCUCGGGGAGGAGUGCAUCUCGGGUCCAUCUUGGCUCUGUGUGCUUUUCCACGAGGGGAAGUGAUUUGUCGGGUGGAAGAACAGGCGCUUGUUGGUCCUCAGAGGCCCGCGCCUGCUGCAAACCUUGGAACAUGAACUUUCCAUUGGCUCCUGGUGCAAAGACCUCCCAGGAGGGGGAGCAUCGGGCCAGUGUUCCAACUGGAGCAAAGCAGGAGAGAAGCAGUCCGGGGUCAGGCUCCUCGUGCUGUGGCUGGGGAAUUAGACCCCGGCCCACCCCGUCACUUCCGGCUGUCUCCCGCGAGGGUUCAAAGUGUGUUACGGACAUUAGCAAUGGUUAAUCCUCAGAAGUAUUAUAGAUGAAGACGCUGAGGCACAGAGAGGGAGGCCACUGGGGAAAAACCACACAGCAAAACCACGUGGGUCAGGAGAAGGGCUGGAGGGUGCCCCUCCCAGCGCCCACUGAUUUCACUCUGUGGGGUCUGUGGCUCCUUCAGGGCAUCGGUGAGCACACUGUUUCAGGUGACAGGGACAUCAUAGCUGCAGUGACAACGUUUCCCGCACCAGAUCCUAAACUCAUCACCAUGCUGUGCCGUUGUCACUGAACUCAGUCCUGCUCCUGUGGUCACGAGGCAGGGUGUCCGCGGUGGCCCAGGGGACCAGCGUUUUGCAUGUCCACUCGACACGGAGCCCGCGAGUGGACCCAGUGCGCCACCCCGACUGUUGGGAGUCGUGACCCAGGUCAGAGCCCAGGUUCUCGGUCCCUCCCUGGUGCCCCUGGUGGCCCUGCCUGGCCCUGCUCUCUGCUGGCACGUGGGUGUGUGGUCAGCCCGGGCUCCGCCUCGCCUGGCCGAGGGCCACGGGUCUCCUGGGCCCCGCGCCCUUGUCCGUGGCCACAGUCUGUGGGGCUCCGCCCGGAGCAGAGGCGCUCCUCGGCCCCAGGUGGCUCUGUACAGGUCAGCACCUGGGGCCGGGGUGGCCUCUGUCCACGCAGGCUCCCUACACAUUGGUGACCUCUGGGCUGCUGUAGCCGUCCAGACGGUACUGCUCCGGCCCGGCCUGCGCGUCAUCGUCCCCGCACUCCUCGUUCUGAAGAGAGCCGUAGUCGUCGUGGAAAUCCGGGUCUUUGCUGCUAAAGCCCCUUCCUAUCUUCCCGAGGGGCAGCUGAGGACAGAGGGACAGGAGGAAGAGAGACAAGAACUGAGUGUCUGAGGCCUGGGAAAUGUGGUGUCUCUAGUCUCGCUGUGUGACCUUGAGUAACUCCCUUGACUUCUCUGUGCUCCUCCUGUUAGUCAUUCUACCUGAGUGCUCCAGGCGGCAGAGACCACUGUGUGAACCAACAUCAGGAGACGGUUCCCUGUUCCCAGCUGGGAGGACUCAGUGGGUGACGAAGGAGCACAGAGCAGUGCCGGCGCACAGUGGGAGCUGUUACCACGCACAGUAGGCCCCCAGCGAGCUCUUCUGUCAACGUCUCUGUCCUCUCCGUGGCGAAGGUGGUUAGUAUUGUUCAUUGCCUGAUGUGGCCCGUCCUCUCUCUCCACCCCCCUUCCUUCCUCCUCC
This is a long non-coding RNA of Marmota monax (woodchuck), 6635 nucleotides long. RefSeq lists it as uncharacterized. The record is from RefSeq and is a predicted model, not a curated record. Lineage: Eukaryota; Metazoa; Chordata; Mammalia; Rodentia; Sciuridae. The transcript is spliced from 3 exons.